This is a long non-coding RNA of Phasianus colchicus (ring-necked pheasant), 1561 nucleotides long. The record is from Ensembl. Lineage: Eukaryota; Metazoa; Chordata; Aves; Galliformes; Phasianidae.
AGAACUGUUAACAUAAGGAAAAACGUACCAACAAAGCAAGCUCUGCAUUCAUGGAAUGUAUCUUGUAUGACACUUUAUACUUUUUAGAGGUAGUGAAUAAAGCAUAGAGUUGGAGAAACAGAAGACCUGGUUUUGAUAUGAAACAACAUUAUUUUCAAUUUGACUAAAUAGCGUGGUCACACGGCACAGGUUCAGGCUUCAGUGAAUCUGUAAGGUGGUGGAUACUUAUAUGAUGUUGAUUAUGAGAAGUUUCCUUUAAGCAUGUUUCCCAAGAAGCAAGCUCACAAUUUUCCAGGUUAGUUCUCUGCCCAGAUAGCAAAGGGACACGUCAGCAUUUCUUUUUUGUUUUUAAUGCAAAUUUAUAGGAAUUAGUGUCAAAGUCAUAAACCUUAAGUGAGCCAUAGAUUCUGUAGGUUUGUAGUAAAAGUGUUUCUGGGUUUCACCAGGUGGGAAGUGAGCAAAGCAUUUGUAGCUUCUUAAAAUCUGUUCUAGGUUUCACAGUGACUUCACAUCUUCAAAUUCAGUUUUGAAAUGAGUGCCAUAUUUUGUCUACUUCAUACAGUACAUCUUUGCAACAAGCUUCCUUCUGCACACACUUUCUGGUUGCAGUGUCAGCCUACUCCAGUUUGUCAUGAUUGCAGCUGCCCAUGGAGAAAACACCUUUACAGGCUAAAAAAAAAUUAGAUGUAGACCUGUGGGAAUACAAGAAAGACUGUCAGACUAUUCAGUUCAGAAGAUGUGGACUAAGAUAGCAUGAGAACGCAACACUGAGAACCAAGGACAUCUCCAGAAGAAGAGAAAAGCAAAGUCAAGUAAGCUGGGUGAUGGCUGAAUAAUGAUGACCCCGACUGAAGGAAAGGAGCAUGGCUAGGAACAACUCAUGACCCUGACUGGAUAAGCACUUGCAUGCAUGGUUAAAGAGUGUUUGUGGGAUGUUUUGUUGACACGUGAAGAUGGGUGGAAAAGCUAAAUGAGAAACCUUGUGAAUGUGUAUAGAAACCAUAACAAACAAUUUGGAUCGUUCACAUCUGAGUCUUUGCCUCAGAUUCUGCAUAGACCUAUGUAGAAUUUUGUAGAUUUUGCAUGUUUUGGGAGCUAUGGAGAAAAACAAAGCACUAAAAUUCCUUUGUUUGAUUUCUUGUGUUUUUUUUUUUUAUAUAUAUUUUUAAACUACAGUAGUACAGAAAUACAGAAUGACUUUUCUUGUGCAUUAUUGUCCUUUGGAUUGAUACAGAAUAGCUUCUCUAAUGAGAUUUCAAUUUGGAGAUGAACAUUAAGAACAACUAGUGAAUACAUUCUUUUCCAGGCCUCUCUCAUAUAAGCUCUUAGAAAGUUUCCUGGAAAGUCUUAUGUCUUGCAGUGCUAACCUCAGUAUUUUAGCAAGGCUAAUGUAAUAAUUGUAUUUGUUUGUUUGCUUUUUAUCAUGAGCAAGAAAAUACCUGAAGAGAAGUCUUAAGUUUUAACCCAUCAUAACAUAGAGGCAAUAAUAUUUGCUAUGUAUUUCUCAGACUACUGUCUUUGAGAACUGUAACGGAUAAUAAACAUCAAAAUCAUAGAAUCA